CGUGUCGCGCAUAUCUGCAUAUCAAUAAGCGGAGGAAAAGAAACUAACAAGGAUUCCCUUAGUAACGGCGAGUGAAGCGGGAAGAGCUCAAAUUUGAAAUCUUCAAGGUUCUACCUUGACGAAUUGUAGUUUAAAGAAGUGUUUUCUGUUAGAUGAGUAGCAAAAGUUCCUUGGAAUGGGACAUCAUAGAGGGUGAGAAUCCCGUAUUUGGUUAUUCAUUCUAGCUUUGUGAUACACUUUCAAAGAGUCGGAUUGUUUGGGAAUGCAGUCCAAAAUGGGUGGUAAAUUUCAUCUAAAGCUAAAUAUUGGCGAGAGACCGAUAGCGAACAAGUACCGUGAGGGAAAGAUGAAAAGAACUUUGAAAAGAGAGUUAAACAGUACGUGAAAUUGUCAAAAGGGAAGCGUUUGACACCAGUGUUGUUUUUCCGAAAAUCAAUUACGAAUGGCUUGAUUUUGUGUUGUAUUGACCUUAUCAGCUUUCUUCACUUUUUUCGAGUCUUUCUUAAUGCACUUUUCGGUUAACAAGUCAACAUCAAUUUCUUUUGUUGUAAAAGAGUAUUCGGAAGGUGGCUUUCCUUUCGGAGAAAGUGUUUAUAGCCCUAUACUUCUACAAUCGGAGAGAUUGAGGUCUGCAGCGUAGAUCCUUCGGGGUUAGAUACAUUUGUGCUAAGUUGUAGCUUUUCAUAGACAACUUGUUGACUAUGCUUAGUCAUGCGGCUUACUCGCUUGUGCUAUUUUACCUACGCUUAGGAUGUUGACGAUCAGCUGAGCGCGUGCUCGACUCUAUACAUGACUCUGUGCAUAUCAAUAAGCGGAGGAAAAGGCUGCUGAACUGAACGACCGCUACCUACGCUUAGGAUGUUGACGAUCAGCUGAGCGCG
RNAcentral lists this ribosomal RNA (881 nucleotides) under uncultured Neocallimastigales. Its description in RNAcentral is "partial large subunit ribosomal RNA". It matches the Rfam family "Eukaryotic large subunit ribosomal RNA", at positions 24 to 639 of the family's 3401-position model. Lineage: Eukaryota; Fungi; Neocallimastigomycota; Neocallimastigomycetes; Neocallimastigales. The record is from RNAcentral.